This 301-nucleotide ribosomal RNA is filed under the name uncultured bacterium. RNAcentral's name for it is "partial 16S ribosomal RNA". It matches the Rfam family "Bacterial small subunit ribosomal RNA", at positions 509 to 807 of the family's 1533-position model. The record is from RNAcentral.
CAGUCGCCGCGGUAAAACGUAGGGUGCAAGCGUUAAUCGGAAUUACUGGGCGUAAAGCGUGCGCAGGCGGUUUGUUAAGACAGAUGUGAAAUCCCCGGGCUCAACCUGGGAACUGCAUUUGUGACUGGCAAGCUAGAGUGUGGCAGAGGGGGGUGGAAUUCCGCGUGUAGCAGUGAAAUGCGUAGAUAUGCGGAGGAACACCGAUGGCGAAGGCAGCCCCCUGGGCCAACACUGACGCUCAUGCACGAAAGCGUGGGGAGCAAACAGGAUUAGAUACCCGCGUAGUCCCUGUCUCUUAUAC